GGUAUUUCUGGAAUGCAUUAUUUAAAUAUUCCACAUUUUUUGAGAAUUCAGAUUGCUUCCAAUUUUUCACUUUCAUAAAUAUCAAUAUCUUUAUGCAUUAUAUCUUUUUCUCUCCUUUUGGGUUAUCACUUUUGCAUGGGAUUACUGGGGCAAAAACAUGUUUCUGUUUCUAUGCCUCCUGGUAUGUAUUAACUCCUAACCUUUCAAACUUGCAUUAAAACUUAAAUCUGACAUUUUUCAGCUUUCCUGACUAAGGGGUGCUUCAACAUCAAAGCUCCUUAGGAUUUACUUCCUUUCUAAAGCAACGUCAAAAGGCUUUUGGUUUUAAGGAUCUAUGGGUGAAGAGAUAAUGCAGGAAGCCCGAUAUGCUGACAUGUGUGAGAGGCAUCAUUCACCACAGAAGUAGAAACAGCAUGGAUGGGUGAAAGUUGCAAGAAGAUCUGUUGUUUCUUGGUUCCAACUUUGCUAUCAGCACUGGACCAAGAAUGGAAAACAACUAAUAAACCCUGAAUGUGCAACAAGGACCACAGGAACCAGCCACGGGAGAGUAGACAGUCACCAAGGUCAGGGUCACGUCAGGACAGCCCUGCACGUGUGCGGCCUGAGUGUUCCCACUCUCCGGGUUCACAGUGCAACAGACAGUGCCAGCUCACCACAGCCUUGUUUCCCCCAACUGACCAAGACUGGUCAGAAUGUGUCAGAUUUUGCAUGAAAGACGCAACGUAUUUGCUGUAAAAUUUUAGGAAUUACUAGAAAACAGGGAAGCCCCAAAAGGUAACACAAUCAAGGCAAGGCAAAGGUUGAAGAGAGUACUGAAAAAUCUUUUCAAACUGUUUAGAGAGGAUCCUGGGGGGAGAUGGUAGCAGGUUGGAGUGGCUGUGAGCCCGAGAGGCAGGAAAUAAGCCAGACUGAAACCCAUAUGCCUCUGUCAGAACUUCAAAGACUGAACCAAUGGCAGAGGCUCCACCACCGGUGCAUCUGUAAAGGCCUGGAGUGGGCUCAGGCAGUGAGAAACUGGAAAUGGAGCCUGGGCCCUUAGAGACCAGAGCAUCUCUCAUACAAGGGCUACACAUGUAUGAAGAAGAUGUACAUAGCUGGUCAUUUGUUACCUCACUUUGUUGAUCACAGACAAAAGCCACUUCCCUGACCUUGUCCUAAGGGAUUGUCAUUGUAAAUGUGGGUGAGCCCAGAGAACAGUGGGCUGGAUCCCUGGGUUUGGCUGCUUUCUAUGCUGCCAAGUAGUGGACACCCACCUUUCAGGCCCCCUUUUAUGUGCUGAGAUCACCUCCCUUCUUAGCUGUCUGUCAGUAUACCCCAGCUCUAGGCUGCAAGACUUCAGUGUGGGGACAGAGGUGCUCCCCACAACAAAGUCUGGGACCUCUGGUGCCCCACCUUCAUGUUUUGAAGAUGCUGUUUCACCCAGCGUUCUUUCCAGUAUUCAUCAGUAAUAGUGCAUUUAGCAUGGAGGCAUCCCCGAGUGCCCUUCACUUCCCCUUCUGCCAGGCAGAUUGUGAUGAACAGUGAAGCCUUUCACGGCUACUCACAGAAGUAGUCUUUAAAAAAGAACAAGAACUCAAAAUUGCAACUUGAACUUCCCCACUGAUACCAUAAAAUGGAACUUGGGAGCAGAAUAUAAGGAUGUUUGAGUUCCACUCUUGCUAAUUCACUGGUAAGGGGGCUUGAAAUCCUGGCCGCAUGUUUAGACAAGUCUACUCUGUUAAAUUAUUUCCCAAGUACUUUAUUCUUUUUGAUUCUGUUGCAAAUGAAAUCUUCCCCUCAAUUUCAUUUUUUGGCUCAUUUUAUUGCUAGUGUAUAGAAGCCAUUCAGUUUUGUUCGCUGAAAUUCUCAUUUGUCAUGUAAAUACAGGGCAAACCUCAGAACUCAGGUAUGAGCCCUUUUAUGUUUUCUGCAAGUGUUUCGUUUUGGGUGAAUAUCUUUGGCUCUUUUGUUCACUUGAUAGAUCCUGAGCAUCUAGAACACUGCCUGACACUCAGGUUCUCAAAAAUGUUGAAUGAAUCAGGCCACCAUCUCUCAUGCAUUUCUCCAUGAGAGCACUUAUUUUUAUGUGUUGAAAUCAUGCUCAUAUGUCUGUCCAUCAGAUGGGAAGUGCGCUGAAGCCAGGGAUCAUUCUAGUGUCCUAAGAACCCUGCACGGUACAUGUCACACACCAGGUGCUCAGCACAUGCCUGAAGACUCUAUGGCUAUGUAUCAGGGUGGGGGUGCAGCAUGAAGGGUUGAGCAUAUCACCAAAGGAAAUCUCAAUGUGUGGUGUUCCCUUUCCACAUCCACAUGUGAUUUGGGCCACUCAUAGAACUAACACCAGCAGAUUAAACAGUGUGUAUAUGUGCAUGCCUGUGUAUGAAGGAAAAAGAACAUAAAUUUGAUAUUUAUCAUGGGUCAUAUGGACUGGUUGACUGUAUGUAGAAUACACACUUGCUAUACAGUUUGGAAUGGAUAUUAAAAGCCUUUGAAUUGAAAACUUGUCAAACAUUUCCUCCUGACACUGCUAUCCAGGCAAAGUCAAUGAUGUGGUCUGGAUCUGUGUCCCUGUCAAAAAUCUCAUGUUGAAUUGUAAUACCCAGUGUUGGAGGUG
Molecule: long non-coding RNA, 2593 nt
Filed under: Homo sapiens (human)
Lineage: Eukaryota; Metazoa; Chordata; Mammalia; Primates; Hominidae
Description: HSALNT0341621
Source: RNAcentral